Molecule: ribosomal RNA, 451 nt
Filed under: uncultured bacterium
Lineage: Bacteria
Description: partial 16S ribosomal RNA
Rfam family: Bacterial small subunit ribosomal RNA
Source: RNAcentral
GUGGGGAAUAUUGGACAAUGGGGGGAACCCUGAUCCAGCCAUGCCGCGUGUGUGAAGAAGGCCUUUUGGUUGUAAAGCACUUUAAGCGAGGAGGAGGCUACCGAGAUUAAUACUCUUGGAUAGUGGACGUUACUCGCAGAAUAAGCACCGGCUAACUCUGUGCCAGCAGCCGCGGUAAUACAGAGGGUGCAAGCGUUAAUCGGAUUUACUGGGCGUAAAGCGCGCUUAGGUGGCCAAUUAAGUCAAAUGUGAAAUCCCCGAGCUUAACUUGGGAAUUGCAUUCGAUACUGGUUGGCUAGAGUAUGGAAGAGGAUGGUAGAAUUCCAGGUGUAGCGGUGAAAUGCGUAGAGAUCUGGAGGAAUACCGAUGGCGAAGGCAGCCAUCUGGCCUAAUACUGACACUGAGGUGCGAAAGCAUGGGGAGCAAACAGGAUUAGAAACCCUGGUAGUCC